CUCAGAAGGGAAGGAGGUACUGCGGCCCUCGCACCGGAAGGCGGAGGAGCAGCGCGGCCCCAGGGUGCGCCCGAACCCGUGUGUUUGGGUCGCGCGCGGUGACCCCGCCUCCGCCCCCUGGCGCCGCCGGGCGGAUUGGCUCCCACCGGUCUGGCCCCGCCUCCCCCCUCGCCGCGGCCUUCCCGCUCCCGCCCUGUCUCGCCUAGGUGCCUUGGUGGGGUAGGUGCUGCCACCCGCGGAUUCGGUGAUGGACAGGUCUCUAGCCCCGCCCUCCCCUGCUGGGCGCGCCCCCUCUCCACCGCGGGGCUUGCGCUGAUUGGAGGGACGGAGCUCCUCCGGGCGCCAACCAGAAGGCGGCCCCUCCUCCUGCACGUGGCCCUCGGACGCUGGACCUGACGGUUUGCAGAGACAACUCACAACAACACAUUUGGCCCAGGAGCUGCUUACAAAUGUACGGUGCGGUGGUGGUUGAAGAAGUUUUGCAGACUAGAUAAAAGCCUGAAGAUAAACAUAGUGGCUGCCCAUGGAAAGUUGACAAUAACCAACUGAGAGGCUUAAAAUUACAUGAGAAGUUGCCCAAGAACUGAACAUCAACCAUUCUAUAGUUGCUCAGCAUUUGAAGCAAAUUUGAAAGGUGAAACGCUCGAGAAGUGGGUGCAUCAUGAGCUGACCAAUAAUGAAAAAAACCAUUGUUUUGAAGGGUCAUCUUCUCUUUUUCUACAUUAGGUUCUUCUCUUAUUCUUUAUCGGAUUGUGAUAUGUGACAAAAAGUGGAUUUUAUAUGAGACCCAGUGAUGACCAGUUCAUUGGUUGGACCGAGAAGCUUCAAAGCACUUCCCAAAGCCAAACUUGCACCCAAAAAAGGUUAUGGUCACUGAUUGAUGGUCUGAUGUCGGUCUGAUCCACUACAGCUUUGUCCAUCCCAGCAAAACUAACACAUCUGAAAAGUAUGUUCAUCAAAUCAAUGAGAUACACCAAAAGCUGCAACACCUGCAGCUGGCAUUGAUCAACAGAAAGGGCCCAGUUCUCCUUGACAACACCUGACUGCACAUCACACAACCAACGCUUCAAAAGCUGAACAAAUGGGCUAUGAAGUUUUGCAUCAUCCACCAUAUUCACCUGACCUCUCAUCAACCGACUACCACUUCUCAACCAUCUCGACAACUUUUUGCAGGGAAAAUGCUUCCAGAGCCAGCAGAAGGCAGGAAAUGCUUUCCAAGAGUUCAUCGAAUCCCUGAGUAUUGAUUUUGAUACUACAGGGAUAAACAAACUUAUUUCUUGUUGGCAAAAAUGUGUUGAUUAUAAUGGUUCCUAUUUUAAAUAAUAAAGAUGGGCUUGACCCCAGUUAUGAUGAUUUAAAA
This is a long non-coding RNA of Bubalus bubalis (water buffalo), 1360 nucleotides long. RefSeq lists it as uncharacterized. The record is from RefSeq and is a predicted model, not a curated record. Lineage: Eukaryota; Metazoa; Chordata; Mammalia; Artiodactyla; Bovidae. The transcript is spliced from 2 exons.